Panthera uncia (snow leopard) is the source of this 8004-nucleotide long non-coding RNA. RefSeq lists it as uncharacterized. Lineage: Eukaryota; Metazoa; Chordata; Mammalia; Carnivora; Felidae. The record is from RefSeq and is a predicted model, not a curated record. The transcript is spliced from 4 exons.
UUAAACAAGCAUUCACUGUAUGCAUGUAUGUAUGAAUAAAUAAAUACGACUAACUUUGGGGGUUCAACCCAACACUGAUCUAAAGUCCUGGAAGACAACAACAUGAGAGAUGGGGUGAUGGUCCAAGGGAGGCAUUUGGAGGGCCUUCGUCAUCUGGGAGGAGGGUAGGGACGCUGAUGAACUUUAGAUUUCCUAAGACCUGCACGGGUGUGAAGAAAACUAAUGGUAAACAAGAACGUUCGACGGAAACAUGCAACUCUGGAAGAAGUGGAAGGAAGGGGGAGAGAAACUCUGCCUCAUCUAAUGCAAGGCAGAAAACAGGAACCAAAGCAGCCAAGAAGCAACAUGGGAACAAGAAAUCACUAGCGUGGAUGUGCACACCGAGGCGUGUGAACCCGUUACAAGGGACUUCUCGCAUUUAAUUUAGAAAUGCAGCUACCUGCUAUUUGCAAGAUACCCAUCUAAAUCAUCAUGACAAAGAAAACUUAAAUGAAACCAGACACGAGGCAAAUACGAAUCACAAGAAGGUUGGCAAAAGACGCUGCCGGGAACGAACUCGUUAGACAUGACUGAGAAAGUCGCGGGGAUUCACUGUGACAUACGACACCAACCGGAAGACCCGAGGCCAGCCUGGUGCAUCUUCAAAGCAGUGUUGCUGAGAGGGCAUCACCCACUUUUUGUCUUGACUCCCAUCCCACAUGGAAGGCGUGAUUUUGUCUCCUAAUGGUGAGCAGAAAGCACCAGACCUAUGGAUCUUUUGGUUUCCCGUUGGAAACCAGAAGGAAAGAGUUCUGUCCCAAACUACCCUCAUUUCCUGGAGGCCUUUCAAGUGUCUGAUGUGAAGAUGAGUUAAAGCACUACGGGGUUUGGAGGGGACAUCUGAGAACAUACCUGCAGACAAGGAACCGGGUGCAGGGGGAUGGUGAAUUGUGCACGAUCACGGAGGUGGUGAGUGGUGAAAGCGAAACCCUCACCCGGGCUUCUGCUCUCCGAUUCGGCACCCAUUCAUCCAGUCUCUGGGAGGAAAAGGAAGCACCGGGUCUCACCAAUAACGAAAGGGCGAGAUAAAUGCAAAUCAAACGCAGAAAAACUCUCCACAGGAAACUGAGGAGUCUCUAAAAAACCAGCCCAUUUAGCCUCUGUGACAAAUAACGGAACUGGGGCAACUGAGCGUCCACACUGCCAGGCAGGGUGCCCUGGGCAAAUUUCUACACCUCUCCAAACACACGCUUCCUUGGUCAUGGAAUGGGGAUCACAGUCGUAUCGCCCUCAUCCAGAUUUUGUGAAGAUCAAAGAGUCAUGAGCCAUGGCAAAGAGCUUUCUUAGCACAGCGCCUGCAGCCUAAGCACUAUUAUGAUUACUACAGGGCUGCUACAAUCGGGGAUAAACCCGUUUCCUUACUGGAAAAGGCCAUAAAAAAAGUCUGCUGGUGCUUUUCUAUGCAUGGGAAAGUAUAUCUAUUGUUUGGGGACGGGGGCACUAAAUGGGUAUUUUUUUAAAAUUCCCAAUAAUAAUAAUAAUAAUAAUAAUAAUGAUAAAAGCAUCCUUUUGCUUUUGUCUUGGUGGAGCAUGCUUCCUUCUGACAUCAACUUUUUCUUCUACUGGGGAGAAAGUCCCAGUCUCAAUUUCACAACUAAAAAAAAAGGGGUUUCUUAGGAAAGUGUCAUAAACACCUCCACCCUAACGGGCUGAGACUAUGAUGGAAACCACGAAGAAGUGACUUACUUCUGUAUUUCAUGACUUUUGUUUUCCUUAGGAAGUCACCUGGACCUGGAUUACAGCUGAGAAGAGGAACUCUUAGUCUGAAAGAGCUCAGACGUCAACGUGUUUUUUCCUCCAUCUGUAAAAUGGGUACAAUGAGGUUCACGCAAUUUGUUCGAGUGGGGAACUGCAAGUUCCCGGUGUUAUGUCCUCGGCUCCUGGGGUGAUACACCUCUGAUCACUGAUCCAAUGGCCCAAAGACAAAUCUCCCUCCCUCUCUCCCUCAUUUCUGUGGCUAUCUCAUUCAGAAACCCAGCUCCUCAAGAAUUUUACAUUCCUGGUUAUUUUUAGACUCAGUUUGUUCAGACACGGUCACCACAUGGCAUGCAGCUGUGGAAAGCAGCUGCUGUGGUUUGAUUUCUAGUCAAUAUUACUUGACAUUUCUUGUCAGGUGAUUUCUAAAAUUUCUUUCUUUCUUUUUUUUUUUUUUCCCGGGGGAUCUCAAGACUUUUCCCCCUGGAUUUUGAGGUGCAACAUCACAGCUGUGCAUCUGAGAGCCUGCUCCAGGCUGGGGAUGGGGCCAGAAUCCUGCUAGAAAGGAAGAUUUCUUUCUAUUCUCAGGACCCAAACUUCUCAGCCCCAGAACACUCAGGUCCUGACAGCUUCCUGAAGACCCUCCUCUCAGUUUUGUGCUUUGAGUGAGGGGCUGCUGUCUCCUGGUCUCAGGAAGAAAGGAGGAAGGGUGAGGCAGGUAGCUGGCCUGCCAGGAGCCUACCUCAGUGACAAUAGCUACCAUGUACCAGAGGCUGGGUCACUCCGCUGAGGGGAAAGCCGGACCGGAUUGGCUGCAGGCUUCCUCCUGCUCCCCCUUAACAGCUUUUCUCCCCGACAGGUGCUUACCUGCCUUUCUCUGGCUCAUUCAGCCAUCAGUCUCUUGGCUCAGCCCAUACACCCAUCCACCGCGAUGCUUUUGCCUUUAGGAGUUUUGCACAUUCUGUUCCCACCUGGAAGACUCUGGGUUCUUUUUCCGGACCAACGCUAUUUCUCAUUUGAUUCUCAACAUCAGCAUCCCUUGGGGAGCCUCUCCCGAUCCUCUAAGACAGGGUUAACUCUCUCUUUGAGGCACUUAACACCUCGGACUGUAAUAUUUUUCUUACAAACAGGCCUGUUUAUUCCUCCAGUCUCCCCACUAGACUCUAAACUCCUGGGUGGGCUCAGGUCUUGUCCACAGUUGCACCCCCACUUCCCAGCCCAGCGUCCGGCCUGGCAUACAGCAGGUGCCUGGCAAAUAUGUGCUGAAUAAUGUGCCAGGCUCACCAAGAACUCCCUCCUCCUUUUCUCCCCCCCCGAUGUAUUUUUUAGACUGUGUCGAAUUCUUUGUUCUUCAAAUCACUUCUGUAAUAAGCUUUCUAUUUUAUCACGGCAUCUAUUUAAGUCAAGUCCUUUGUCAGUUCUGAGUUUGACAAAAAUCUUCAAUUGUGCAGGUACGGACAAAAACGUGACGCCGUGUCUGACACAUAAACGAGAAGUGAAAAUCGUGGCUGGAUAACCUGAAAACAGCUAGCGACAUCUGUAUCCUGGCCAUCCUUCCUCAUGAAGCCUUCUUUUUUGUGGGCUGGUAAGUUUUGACCCUUGUUUUUAAGGUGCGGUUAUUCUCGACAAGGAGACAGCAUAGGUUUCCAACUAGGAGACAGUUCUCUCAAGAGAGUCCUUCUUACAGUGGAGGAAGUUUUCAGUUACAUACGGUCUCCACUCGCGUCCCUUCUCCCCACCCAACCGUGUGCUUUAGGCAGACAGGAACGAACGCACGAGCCACGGUUAUCGGCGGUUACCUUCAGCAGCACUGCCAGCUUCUCCACAACUACUUUGUGCGAGAUGACGUUCCCCAGCCCUCACUGCCGCGAGGCGUGUGGAGGUGGGAGCGCACACAGCGUGUACCACAGCGGCACAGCCCUCUUCUAACCGCAGCUCAGCAAAUUCAACGCUGGGCCGCAACAACGGCCAGAGGGACGGGGUCCCCGCACACACAGGGCUUCGGAGUGGCCCCAACGGCAUCUGAAGCCGGGCCUGGUGCUACCAAAGCAGCCCCGGGUCCUGGCAAGAGGACCGGAAGGGAGAGGACGUGCGGACGUCCGAGGGCCGUGCGCAAGGAGGCAAACGUCACGGAGUGUCCAGCCUGCUGGGGACACUGCCGGGCACCAUGGACUAUAAGCCGAGGGUCCGCCUUCUGUCCUCGGUGACUUUACGGUCUAGAAAUAUUGACAGGAAGGCAGAGGCAAGACAUUUUGCACAGCAGUCGAGGCUAAGCAGAUGCGAAACAACCUGAUUCUUGUGGCAACAGCACUGGCCUGGGCGGGAUCUACCCCGCUUAAGGCUUAUACCUCUCCUGCCCCGGCCCCGGCCGAUGUUUGUGGGGAAGAAGGGCUCGCCUGACUGGAGGAGAAGCAGGAUACCAAGGACCCUGUUGCUACCGCAGGUGGCAGAGAGUGUCUGGGUGACAUGUGCUAAGAAGCUGGUCCCCUCAGAUUAAGGAAGUCAAAAGGGAGAGGAGCUGGCCCGUAUAAAAAACUUGGGGACACGUGUCUGGAAAUGAUGGGGAUGGGUGGUAUGGCAGGCUGAGUAGCGGCCCCGCAAAAGGUAUCCACAUCCGAUUCCCUGGAACCUGAGAAUGUUACCUCACACUGCAAAACAGGACACUGCAGAUGUGAUUACAUAAGGCUCUUGAGAUGGGGAAGUUAUCCAGGAUGAUCCAGGUGUGCCCUAAAUGCCAUUGCAAAUGUCCUUGUAAGAGAAGCAGAGGGAGAUCUGACACGGACAGAAGAGAGAAGGCCACGUGAUUGCGGAGGCAGAGAUGGGAGCGAUGUGGCCACGAGCCAAGGGAUGCCGGCAGCCCCAGCAGCUGGAGGAAGCUUGGAAUGGAUUCUCCCCUAGGGACUCUGGAGGGAGCUCUGUCCUGUGGACACUCUGAUCUGAGGUCAAAAUCAUUUCAGUGAUAACGACUUUCAACUGCUGGCCUUCAGAAAGGUGACAAAACAAUUUCUGUUGUUUACGUCACGAAGUCUGUGGUCACGUCUUAUAGCAGCAAUGAGAAACUUAAGAUACAGUUUAGAUGUGCCACUUGAUGAAGCUUCUGAUUCAGUUCCCACAGGCAUCGUAUGCUGGGACCAGUAAGAGAGAGGGACAAUCAUUUCCUAUUAUCAUAUUCACUAUGUAGAGCCAGCAUCAAAAUUCUGCACACAUUCACACGCACACGCACGCACACACAUGUGCACAUACGCGCAUACCCCUCUCCUGGAUUUGAAUCAGCAACUGCUCUCAUCCAGCUUUGCAGUGUUAGGUCGUUUCUGAGAGGAAUUCAUAGUAAAUUGGAACAGGUCGCUGUGAACUGAGAAAAAGAAUCAUGAAGCAAUCGCGGAGUCAGGGGUGGGGGUGGGGCGGUGCUCCCAGAAGGCAUCAUGGACGCACAGUGGAGACAAGAGUGGGAAGCAGAAGGCAAGGACUCACUUUAGAGGAGCAAGCAGGCUGGACAGAGGGAGCACCGCCGCCCCCCCCCCCCCCCCCCAAGAAAAAGGAAAAGAGAAGGACUUCUUUUGCAGUUCUAAGAAGAUGCUCUGUCAAGGAGAAUAUAGGGAUAAAGGAAUGCCUGAUGAGUUUUCUUUCUAUCUUGAAACUCUUUUGUAGGGAUAAGUGUUAUAACCUUGGGAAUGGGAUUUACUUGAAAAAGAGGAAUAUGGGGACAUUGUGGAGCGCGCUGUGUGAACGUGGCCAGGACAGUGUGGUGGGAGGGGGUGCUGCCUUUUGGUUGGGGGGGCAACUUUGGGCUCCUGCUGCAUUUUAAAGGCGGGAGGUAGGUGCCUUUAGCUUAAGGAAUGAUUUUGGGUUUGGGAUGCUGAGGUGUUUCUGUGGUCCUUGUGAGGGAAGAUACAGAAGGGGCACAGGGGGUGAGAAAUCCCCCGGGUUGAGAGAAGAAUGCCCUGUCUGUAGUUGUGGCACCAUUCCAAGAGGCUCUCCAGAGACAAGGCUCCUGACUAUAGAACAGGUCCUAUGCCAUCUUCUGUCACAUCAGCAAGCUUGGGGAACCAAGCAGCCUUCUCACUGCACGCUGGCUCCACAAUGUCAAGAGCUCUCCGAUGUACCUACAUUUCAACAAUAGCGUCUGGAGUCCCUAAUUCAUUACUGGUCAGCAUCACCUAGUGAACAUUCACAGUAUCCACAGCACUGGAGGUUCGUGAGGGUUUGCAGGAAAAGUGGAUGGCACAGGUCUCUGUUCUCCGGGAAGAAACAGACAAAUACAAGUAAAUCCAAACCCAAAUGAAAACACAGGUGACAGGUGUCUCAGGUGCUGACACCAAGAGGAAGUAGCAAAGAACCCAGAGGAUCUGUAUUCACCGCGCCCCCAUUUAUACUGUAUCUGUGGUCUUGAAGAGUCACAGAACUGCUUUAAGUCUUUCUAGCCAUCUGUAAAAUGGGUUUACUAGAAUAACAAAUGGCUCAGGUUGUUAAAAGAGCUAAAUGAGAUAAUGAAUACAAAAGCCGUCUAUUUAUUUGAUUUUAUUUUUUCAUAAUCUCUACGCCCAACGUGGGGCUUGAACUCACAACCUCGAGAUCGAGAGUCACACGAUCCACUGAGCCAGGGGGUGCCCCUGAAAGCACUUUUAAAACAUUAACUGUGGUCUUAACAUAUGUUACAAUGUAUAGCAUAAGGAAAUAUUAAGAAACUUACACUGAGGAGGGUAGAAAAAUGAUAGAUGGUUAGUGUAGUUCCAAGAAUAUCAUAAUUUCCUUGUGACUCAUCAGGACACUCUGGGACAAUAAUUAGAGCUAUCGUUCAAGAGAAAAGAACAUCUUGAUAUUGAGCAUAGUCCACACGGGGGUUGGUCUGCCCCCUUCUUUCGGUGCUGUCUUCUUUCCCUUUGGAGAACUGAUGCACCCCUACUCCAACCAUGGGCGCAGCCGCCCGUCACAGCGCCUCGCUCCCUGGCCUCAGGGCACGUGAUCUGGACCCUACUCCCUGGCCUCAGUGCUGGAGCCAGGGUGGAGGGCACGUGAUCCAAUGUGGGCCACUCACAGAUUUUCUUUGGAGGAUUCAUAUAUUUGAAUGAGGCAAGCUUUCCCCUUUCCUUUAGGUUGCUAUGCUGGCAUAAUGCAAGCCUGGAGUGGCCUGUGGCCGACAGUUCCCCUGUGUAGAAGCAGCCUGUGGUAGGACAGAAUGAGGCCAACACACAGAGACUGGGGAGUCAGGUUAGGGGAAGAAAAAGGAUCUUGACAGCAAGCAAGUCCUUAGUUCUAGUGCUUAAACCCCCAGGGUCCUUCACCUCCCAGUUCCUUCCAGGAUAUUCAAUUUCGGGUUUCAACUGGUCACGUCAUCUGAAAGAGUUCUGAUUUAUAUAGUGGGCUUACUUGGCGAUACUACAUAAACCCCGAUGAAGGGCAAGUAAGAAUGUUGUUGGAAAAAGAUUCUACAAAGGUCAUUUUUUUCCCGGAAAAAAAAGGGGGGGGGGGAUCAGCUCAGCAUUUAGAGAUAUUAAUCCUCAAUUUUCUAAACCUGGCUCAGCACUAACAUCCUUGGGUAUUAAUCAAACAAAAAGGCCAUGUGCAUGCAUUAUGAUGCAUGCCAGCAGAAGCAUUCAGUGAGGGUUUGACCAGAUUAUUUUAAUACCUGACAAGCACGAUCAGCACAGGGGAGUGAAUUCAAAAUAUACACAGACGGUAACGCUGAAACGUGCAAGAGAGUGACUGGGACAACGCUUAAGCUUCUGGAGUAUUAAGCACCAGAUAUUAUAUUUCUUCUGGUUUGCUUACCGAACAGGGAAAAUUCGUGUCUCUACAGUAGGAUCAGGAACCACAAAACGGUACUUAGAGGUGACUGCACUUGAAGCUUAUACUUGCUGUCCGUGGUUACCUCGCUGCCCGGCUGCAGACUGCCAUUAGCAAAGAGCCCAACUGGUGUGGAGUGGGAUCCAAUCCGUUGUGCUCCUCUAGGAGGAGAACAUUCUGGAGGUCCCGCACUGCACCAUCCCUGCCUUCAAUAUGGCCACUGAGAACCGCACGGACAACUUCCAGUCUAAGUGCUGAGAAGGCAGCUGUCUGGAGCAAGUAUCAGAGACAAAUGUGAAUGGUUUUCUGACCUCCAUCUCUCUUUUAUUGAUCAACCAGGUACAUUCUGCCUUCUCCUGAGCUACUACGAAGUUUCUAUUUGCUGUUAAUUGUGACCACGAAGUGACAGGAAUUUAGGAAUUAAGAGAUUGCUCACAGCAAAUGAAAGAGUGUAGAGCCAACAUCUUAUGAUGACCCAUGGCCUUA